ACCUCCGGACUGGGGUUCGCAAGCUUCACGGCGAACGUACCUCGGGAAGUUGGUUAAACCUCACUACUUAGAGGAAGGUGAAGUCGUAACAAGGUCUCCGUAGGUGAACCUGCAGAAGGAUC
This 122-nucleotide ribosomal RNA is filed under the name Aureococcus anophagefferens. RNAcentral's name for it is "partial small subunit ribosomal RNA". It matches the Rfam family "Eukaryotic small subunit ribosomal RNA", at positions 1706 to 1827 of the family's 1831-position model. The record is from RNAcentral. Lineage: Eukaryota; Pelagophyceae; Pelagomonadales; Pelagomonadaceae.